CCUACGGGGGGCAGCAGUGGGGAAUAUUGGUCAAUGGGCGCGAGCCUGAACCAGCCAAGUAGCGUGAAGGAUGACUGCCCUACGGGUUGUAAACUUCUUUUAUAAAGGAAUAAAGUGAUGCACGUGUACCUUUUUGUAUGUACUUUAUGAAUAAGGAUCGGCUAACUCCGUGCCAGCAGCCGCGGUAAUACGGAGGAUCCGAGCGUUAUCCGGAUUUAUUGGGUUUAAAGGGGGCGUAGAUGGGUUGUUAAGUCAGUUGUGAAAGUUUGCGGCUCAACCGUAAAAUUGCAAUUGAUACUGGCAGCCUUGAGUACAGGUGAGGUAGGCGGAAUUCGUGGUGUAGCGGUGAAAUGCUUAGAUAUCACGAAGAACUCCGAUUGCGAAGGCAGGUUACUAAACUGCCACUGACAUUGAUGCUCGAAAGUGUGGGGAUCAAACAGGAUUAGAUACCCCUGUAGUC
RNAcentral lists this ribosomal RNA (460 nucleotides) under uncultured bacterium. Its description in RNAcentral is "partial 16S ribosomal RNA". It matches the Rfam family "Bacterial small subunit ribosomal RNA", at positions 338 to 795 of the family's 1533-position model. The record is from RNAcentral.